UCUCCGUUGGUGAACCAGCGGAGGGAUCAUUACCGAGUUAUACAACUCCCAAACCCCUGUGAACUUACCUAUAACGUUGCUUCGGCGGGAAACCGACGGCCCCGUAAGACGGGCCGCCCCCGCCAGAGGACCCCCUAACUCUUGUUAUAUCCUGUUUCUCUGAGUACAACAAGCAAAUAAAUUAAAACUUUCAACAACGGAUCUCUUGGCUCUGGCAUCGAUGAAGAACGCAGCGAAACGCGAUAAGUAAUGUGAAUUGCAGAAUUUAGUGAAUCAUCGAAUCUUUGAACGCACAUUGCGCCCGCCAGUAUUCUGGCGGGCAUGCCUGUCCGAGCGUCAUUACAACCCUCAGGCCCCCGGGCCUGGUGUUGGGGAUCGGCGGGCCCUCCGGGGCACACGCCGUCCCCCAAAUUCAGUGGCGGUCUCGCUGCAGCCUCCAUUGCGUAGUAGCUAACACCUCGCAACUGGAAGGCGGCGCGGCCACGCCGUAAAACCCCCCAACUUCUGAAUGUUGACCUCGGAUCAGGUAGGAAUACCCGCUGAACUUAA
Molecule: ribosomal RNA, 549 nt
Filed under: Fusarium sp. NRRL 22158
Lineage: Eukaryota; Fungi; Ascomycota; Sordariomycetes; Hypocreales; Nectriaceae
Description: eukaryotic LSU rRNA
Rfam family: 5.8S ribosomal RNA (bases 186-339)
Source: RNAcentral